RNAcentral lists this ribosomal RNA (514 nucleotides) under uncultured bacterium. RNAcentral describes it as "partial 16S ribosomal RNA". It matches the Rfam family "Bacterial small subunit ribosomal RNA", at positions 28 to 523 of the family's 1533-position model. The record is from RNAcentral.
GACGAACGCUGGCGGCGUGCCUAACACAUGCAAGUCGAACGGGGAGUUACUUGUAACUCCUAGUGGCGAACGGGUGAGUAACGCGUAGACAACCUGCCUCUAAAUUGGGGACAACACCGCGAAAGUGGUGCUAAUACCGAAUGUGGUAACUUGAUCGCAUGAUCGAGUUAAGAAAGAUGGCCUCUAUUUAUAAGCUAUCGAUUAGAGAUGGGUCUGCGUCUGAUUAGCUAGUUGGUGAGGUAAUGGCUCACCAAGGCGACGAUCAGUAGCCGGUCUGAGAGGAUGGACGGCCACACUGGGACUGAGACACGGCCCAGACUCCUACGGGAGGCAGCAGUGGGGAAUCUUCCGCAAUGGACGAAAGUCUGACGGAGCAACGCCGCGUGAGUGAAGAAGGUCUUCGGAUUGUAAAGCUCUGUCGUUUGGGACGAACGUGCUUUGUGUGAAUAAUGCAGAGUAAUGACGGUACCAAAGGAGGAAGCCACGGCUAACUACGUGCCAGCCGCCGCGGUAA